UCCUACGGGAGGCAGCAGCUAAGAAUCUUCCGCAAUGGGGGGAACCCUGACGGAGCGACGCCGCGUGGACGAAGAAUGCCGGAAGGUUGUAAAGUCCUUUUCCUGGGGGAGAAUAAUGCGAGGAGGUAAUGCCUUGCAGAUGACGUGAACCAGGGAAUAAGCCCCGGCUAAUUACGUGCCAGCAGCCGCGGUAACACGUAAGGGGCAAGCGUUGUUCGGAUUUAUUGGGCGUAAAGGGCGUGUAGGCGGUAAUGUAAGUCUGGUGUUAAAUACCUCGGCUCAACCGAGGGGGUGCGCUGGAAACUGUGUUACUAGAGUGAUGGAGGGGGAGCUGGAAUUCCUGGUGUAGGGGUGAAAUCUGUAGAGAUCAGGAAGAACACCGGAGGCGAAGGCGAGCUCCUGGCCAUUAACUGACGCUGAGGCGCGAAAGCGUGGGGAGCGAACAGGAUUAGAUACCCUGGUAGUCCACGCUGUAAACGAUGUGCACUGGGUGUUGGUCCGUUGAGGAUCAGUGCCGUAGCUAACGCGUUAAGUGCACCGCCUGGGGAGUAUGCUCGCAAGGGUGAAACUCAAAUGAAUUGACGG
This 585-nucleotide ribosomal RNA is filed under the name uncultured bacterium. RNAcentral describes it as "bacterial SSU rRNA". It matches the Rfam family "Bacterial small subunit ribosomal RNA", at positions 337 to 916 of the family's 1533-position model. The record is from RNAcentral.